UAAUACGGAGGGUGCAAGCGUUGUUCGGAAUUACUGGGCGUAAAGGGCGCGCAGGCGGUUGUGCAAGUCAGUUGUGAAAUCCCCCGGCUUAACCGGGGAACUGCAUCUGAAACUGCAUGACUCGAGUACAGAAGAGGGAAACGGAAUUCCCGGUGUAGAGGUGAAAUUCGUAGAUAUCGGGAGGAACACCAGUGGCGAAGGCGGUUUCCUGGUCUGAUACUGACGCUGAGGCGCGAAAGCGUGGGGAGCAAACAGG
Molecule: ribosomal RNA, 256 nt
Filed under: uncultured bacterium
Lineage: Bacteria
Description: partial 16S ribosomal RNA
Rfam family: Bacterial small subunit ribosomal RNA
Source: RNAcentral